AUGUGUUUUACAUUUUGUUCCAGCGUGCUCGUUGGGAGGUCUCUGCUCUACUUCAUGUCUGACGAUGGGUGCAUCCUAGAGUACGACUUUGCACGGCACGACCUGACUGUUUUCGACCCACCGAACUAUGAGUCGAUCUACGAUGGCCGAUAUAACAUCAUGCUGGCGGAGGACGGUGGACUGGGAGUUACCCAAGAGAUGAGUCCGCAUCUCCCGAUGGGUACUGAGCCGGGUCACUUACUUGCAAAAUUUGCUCCCAGAUGGUGCUCUCGUGGAGCCAGCAAGUUCAUUGUAUGUGUUGGGCUUUGCUGA
Molecule: ribosomal RNA, 312 nt
Filed under: Triticum aestivum (bread wheat)
Lineage: Eukaryota; Viridiplantae; Streptophyta; Magnoliopsida; Poales; Poaceae
Description: partial small subunit ribosomal RNA
Source: RNAcentral